UCCCGUGGCGCUUGAUUUUUUGUUUCAGGGUAUGAGACCGGUGUUAUACAGGCAUCUGAGUUCCGUACAUACCACACUCCACUUAACACACAAGGUGACUUUGUUAAUGCCCUGCGAGCUGCUCGGGAGUUCAGUUCAAAAAUAUCCAAUUCCUUGAAGAUUGACAUCUUUCCAUAUUCUGUCUUUUAC
This is a non-coding RNA of Camelina sativa (false flax), 189 nucleotides long. NCBI's taxonomy places the organism in Eukaryota, Viridiplantae, Streptophyta, Magnoliopsida, Brassicales, Brassicaceae. The record is from RefSeq and is a predicted model, not a curated record.